AACCUUAUGGACCUGCGGGCGUAUACCUGCGGAAGGAUCAUUAACCUUUCAAAUCAGGGUGCGGCGCGGCCCCCGAGGAGCGGAAACAAUCCUUGGGAGGUAUGCGGGGGCUUCGAGCCCCCCAUUUACGCACGCACGACUGCCAUCCUUACUUUACGAGCACCUUCUGUUCUCCCUCGGCGGGGCAACCUGCCGUUGGAACCGAAUAAACUCUUUUUGCAUCUAGCAUUACCUGUUCCG
RNAcentral lists this unclassified non-coding RNA (240 nucleotides) under soil metagenome. RNAcentral's name for it is "partial contains 5.8S ribosomal RNA, internal transcribed spacer 2, and large subunit ribosomal RNA". The record is from RNAcentral.